Molecule: long non-coding RNA, 364 nt
Filed under: Fukomys damarensis (Damara mole-rat)
Lineage: Eukaryota; Metazoa; Chordata; Mammalia; Rodentia; Bathyergidae
Description: lncRNA (ENSFDAG00000021590.1)
Source: RNAcentral
GGAGUCAUUCCAAGAAGGUGGAUUUGAACACGAGAAUCAAACAAGUUCUAUUUCCCAGAAGGGAAAAAUACAUAUGACUUUGAAAGAGGUGAUUUUAAGUGAAAAGCCAUCCUACCAUCCUGGAGUUCACAGAUUUUCCUAAAUAAUCUGGAAGAAAGUCUUAUUCGUGGGGCUGAGGAUUUAGUUCAGUGGUUCCACCUCCUGCUUCACAAGCCCAAGGUCCGGAGUUCAAUCCCCAGUACCAAGAACAAACAAACAAACAAACAAAACAAAGCCUCAUUCCUACCUACAACUUCUAUUCCUGGGUUUUCAAAAGGAAGAACCUUUAGGGUAAGGAUGCCAGAGAAAUGUUCAGUUAAAUAUG